RNAcentral lists this ribosomal RNA (412 nucleotides) under bacterium enrichment culture clone N3h19. Its description in RNAcentral is "bacterial SSU rRNA". It matches the Rfam family "Bacterial small subunit ribosomal RNA", at positions 96 to 524 of the family's 1533-position model. The record is from RNAcentral.
UGGCGGACGGGUGAGUAACGCGUGAGGAACCUGCCUUUCAGAGGGGGAUAACGUCUGGAAACGGACGCUAAUACCGCAUAACAUCAGAGGGUCACAUGGACUUCUGAUCAAAGGAGCAAUCCGCUGAAAGAUGGACUCGCGUCCGAUUAGCUAGUUGGCGGGGUAAAGGCCCACCAAAGCGACGAUCGGUAGCCGGACUGAGAGGUUGAACGGCCACAUUGGGACUGAGACACGGCCCAGACUCCUACGGGAGGCAGCAGUGGGGGAUAUUGCACAAUGGAGGAAACUCUGAUGCAGCAACGCCGCGUGAGGGAAGACGGUUUUCGGAUUGUAAACCUCUGUCCUCAGGGACGAUAAUGACGGUACCUGAGGAGGAAGCUCCGGCUAACUACGUGCCAGCAGCCGCGGUAAU